GACAGAGGGUGCAAACGUUGUUCGGAAUUACUGGGCGUAAAGCGCGUGUAGGCGGCUCGGAAAGUCGGAUGUGAAAGCCCUGGGCUUAACCUAGGAAGUGCAUUCGAAACUCCCGAGCUUGAGUUCUGGAGAGGAAGGCAGAAUUCUCGGUGUAGAGGUGAAAUUCGUAGAUAUCGAGAGGAACACCGGUGGCGAAGGCGGCCUUCUGGACAGUGACUGACGCUGAGACGCGAAAGCGUGGGGAGCAAACAGGG
Molecule: ribosomal RNA, 254 nt
Filed under: uncultured bacterium
Lineage: Bacteria
Description: partial 16S ribosomal RNA
Rfam family: Bacterial small subunit ribosomal RNA
Source: RNAcentral